ACGUAGGGAGCGAGCGUUGUCCGGAAUUACUGGGUGUAAAGGGAGCGUAGGCGGGACGGCAAGUCAGAUGUGAAAACUAUGGGCUCAACUCAUAGACUGCAUUUGAAACUGUUGUUCUUGAGUGAGGUAGAGGUAAGCGGAAUUCCUGGUGUAGCGGUGAAAUGCGUAGAGAUCAGGAGGAACAUCGGUGGCGAAGGCGGCUUACUGGGCCUUUACUGACGCUGAGGCUCGAAAGCGUGGGGAGCAAACAG
Molecule: ribosomal RNA, 251 nt
Filed under: uncultured bacterium
Lineage: Bacteria
Description: partial 16S ribosomal RNA
Rfam family: Bacterial small subunit ribosomal RNA
Source: RNAcentral